CUCUGGGAUUCCUGGGGAGUUGACAGUUGAGGCUGAGCUAAGGAAUCUGUUAGGUGUGAGACUUGCAUGUGGCUCCAUAUGCAAGAAAAGAGGUUAGAGAAGCAGGAGCUUUGAGCAAUGGAGAUGUGAGAGCAUCUGCAUCAUGUACUGGCUGUGCCGAGCCAGCCUUGGCAGAGGUUGCUCUUCUGUGUCCAGUCAUUACAAGCUGAAACUCAAUUGUCAGUGAUGGACACCUACUUCCUGUUCUUUUGGAGUACGGGAAAAAUUUCAGACAUCAGAAAAGUUGCACAUUCACUUGAGUUGUGUUCACAGUAGUGGUGUUUCAGCUUCUCCUGAUGAGCUGGAGAAGGUUUGCAGACCCUGCUUUGCAGAGAUGGCUGUAGAAGUUGUGAUCCGGACAACUGUUCAAAUUUUUCAGGAUACACUGUAAAAAGCAGCAAAUCAAUGUACCUGGUGAACAAGAAGACAUGUGAGGAGCAUGUUUGGCUGGAGCUCUCAUACUGCACCUGUGGGACYCACCUGUGGUGGAAAUGGAGACCAGACCAACAUCCCUGUGCAGCCUUUCUUCCACCUGGCAGCCCACUGGAUUGGGGACAGGGAUGUUAUCUGACUGGUCAGCAAUGGCAGGAGAAAGGUGACCAUGUAUUUCUGAUGGAACUACUGUGAUGGUUAAGUGAACUGGGUAAGCCCUUUGGCUGAGAUGGUGCAAAACGUAAAAACCAAUGAACUGUUUUUCAGAAAGGAAGUUUCUGGUCUUGAGCAGCUUAUGGAAAGCAGGUGAUACCAUGGUGUGGUCUAGAAAUGAAUGUAUUCACAGGGUAGUUCUUGUCAACUGGAGUUUAAUUUGAGAGAAACCUCCCAUCAAAGUGAGUAAUUGCUCAAAUAGUGAUACGAAUCACCCCAUUAGCCCCUGGAAGUAUCUCCUAAAAAGCCAGUGGAGCCUCCAUGGCUAUAAGAACUUCUCAUGAAUGAUACAACUAACACAUCCUAAGCUUAAAAAUAAUAUGAAAUGGUACCCUGCAGUCCUUUAUUCUUGUGACAACUGCAAGUCUUUGAUAUUGUUUUCUGGCUUGGGAAAGCUGAGAAUAAAGGAUUGGAGUGUUCUGCUCUCAGUGUACUGUUUAUAAGCCCAGAUAUGUCAGUGUCAAAGCAUUUUGAAGGGUUUUUAACCUGCUUAGUUUUCUGUGUGUUCCUGAAAAACAAAGCUAAAAGUAAAAGAUCACUGAGGCAAGUUUUGAUAUAUAUAUUCUCACCAUUUUUUUAUGUCUUGAAUACUGAUUUGUUAGUACAGACUUACUUAUAAUCCUGUACUUGUCACCAAGAUGUUUUGUUCAUCAGGUUGUAGAGGAAAUGAGUCUUGUUUUUUAUAAAAAAAAGUAAAUUGGCAGAUGUUUGCAUUGUGAAUUCUGAGACAUUUCUUCUUAAACUUUUUUUAUAACACUAGUUAAGAACUCUUGAUCUUGCAUCACUGGCCUUCUGAAAUCUUGUUGAACCUACCCAGUUAUUGUUUCUUUCACCCAUUUAAAAAGGUAGUCAAUGUUCCCUCUGACUUAAAUAGACUUGCAGAUGGACAGCAGUUUUAAAUAGCAAACCAGUAAGUUUUUCAGCAAUUUAUUUUCCCCUUUGAUUUUUCCUAGUCUUUUGUGAAACAUUAUUUUGGCUUCAGAUAUUCGCUGUUGGCUUGGAUUCCCUUUCCUUCCCAGGGGAAAGCAUUAAAUUUCUAGCCAACUUCAAUAUCUCCUUUGAAAGGUAUAUUUUAAUGCUCUAGAAUAAAUUAACUUAAUCAUCAGAAUAUGGAAGAGUUCUAUCAGCUCCACUUGGAUCCAUUAUUCCACAUUUAUAACUUGUGUCUUCAUCYUUGUUUCUCUCUUUAGAGCACAGAUUUUUAUUAUAUUUUCUUUAGCCUUUUUUUGUUACUGCAUGCAAAUAUGUCUAGAAGAUAUUGGGAUUAAUUUUGUAUGCUGAUUAAUGCUGUAGUUAGUGGGUGGCAACACUUGUAGCUGCAAUGAGAAUUGUUCCAGAACACUGGUGGCACAACAAAAUGCUAAAGAUUUUUAUGUCUAAACUGAAGAUAUAUCUGAAAUGAUAAAGCAGCAGUAUUUAUCAUGCAAUAUAUACCCCAUUUUGGGAACAUMUGGCAAGGAAAAGAAGAAAAGGUUGGCUAUGGUAAAAUAGUGUGAUGCUAUAGACAGUAUUUUGGAGAGGCAAGUGAGGGUUUUUAUGCCUUUUGCUUUUAUGAUGCUCAGGCUUUCAUGUAUCAGGARGAGCUUUUGAUCUUGUUUCUCCUCUUGACAUACAAAAGUGAUUAACUAAACGUGCUUGAGUACCUUAAAAGUAAGUUCAGACUGUAAAAUUAAAAAAGGUAAGUAUUUAACAUCAGAGUUGCGGGUUUUGACAUACAUCAAGAUAGAGAUAGAAACCUCUAGUGUGUUCCUGAGAUCUCUGUGCCCUUACAUAAUUAUCUACAUCUCUGAUCCCUGAGCUGUAACCUUUUACAAAAACCUGAAGUUCCUGGUGUCCUGCCUGUAUAGCUCAAGGUCAGCAGCUCUCUGAACACAGGGGACGUGAAGACAGGUUUAAGUUCCCUAAGAUUUUGUUUCUCGAUAGAAACCUUCCUGGUUUAACCUCAAUAGGACCAGCCU
Molecule: long non-coding RNA, 2642 nt
Organism: Nothoprocta perdicaria
Lineage: Eukaryota; Metazoa; Chordata; Aves; Tinamiformes; Tinamidae
Exons: 5
Source: RefSeq, a predicted model, not a curated record